Long non-coding RNA from Aegilops tauschii subsp. strangulata, 505 nucleotides. RefSeq lists it as uncharacterized. Lineage: Eukaryota; Viridiplantae; Streptophyta; Magnoliopsida; Poales; Poaceae. The record is from RefSeq and is a predicted model, not a curated record.
CUUAGAACUUACAUAUAUCACACAAUAAUCUGCAACUCGCUCCUUUAGCACAAACACCAGUUAAAAUGAGGACUAUCCAGAUGUUGCUUCUGUCCCUGGUCUUUCUCAUGCUAGCAUCAGAUGUGGUAGUGGAGGCAUCAAUGGAUGAUAGCAUGAAACUCUACACAUGUGUGCAAAAAAUUCUCCCAUCGACAAAGCCAUGUGAUAGCAAAACUUGCGAGAAAAAAUGUGUGAAACGUACAAGGCAAACCAAAUCUACCAUGUGUGUUCUUGAGGGGUGCCAGUGCACGUUAUGCAUAGAUCCGGCUCCAACCAUCCAUGAUAAUGAACAAAUGGGUACCAAUUAGCUAAUAUAGGAUAGUGUGUUAAGCAAAUAAAGUGACGAAAUCACAAAUGGUGUAGUAGCAAGGUUGUACACUCAUAAGCCCUUGUUGUGUGAAUUUGGUCUUGCUUCUUGAAUUAUCUGAAAUUAUGAAGUAGAUAUAAAAUUUGUAUGCUUGAAAAA